UUAAAUUGAAGAGUUUGAUCAUGGCUCAGAUUGAACGCUGGCGGCAGGCCUAACACAUGCAAGUCGAACGGUAACAGGAAACAGCUUGCUGUUUCGCUGACGAGUGGCGGACGGGUGAGUAAUGUCUGGGAAACUGCCUGAUGGAGGGGGAUAACUACUGGAAACGGUAGCUAAUACCGCAUAACGUCGCAAGACCAAAGAGGGGGACCUUAGGGCCUCUUGCCAUCGGAUGUGCCCAGAUGGGAUUAGCUAGUAGGUGGGGUAAAGGCUCACCUAGGCGACGAUCCCUAGCUGGUCUGAGAGGAUGACCAGCCACACUGGAACUGAGACACGGUCCAGACUCCUACGGGAGGCAGCAGUGGGGAAUAUUGCACAAUGGGCGCAAGCCUGAUGCAGCCAUGCCGCGUGUAUGAAGAAGGCCUUCGGGUUGUAAAGUACUUUCAGCGGGGAGGAAGGGAGUAAAGUUAAUACCUUUGCUCAUUGACGUUACCCGCAGAAGAAGCACCGGCUAACUCCGUGCCAGCAGCCGCGGUAAUACGGAGGGUGCAAGCGUUAAUCGGAAUUACUGGGCGUAAAGCGCACGCAGGCGGUUUGUUAAGUCAGAUGUGAAAUUCCCGGGCUCAACCUGGGAACUGCAUCUGAUACUGGCAAGCUUGAGUCUCGUAGAGGGGGGUAGAAUUCCAGGUGUAGCGGUGAAAUGCGUAGAGAUCUGGAGGAAUACCGGUGGCGAAGGCGGCCCCCUGGACGAAGACUGACGCUCAGGUGCGAAAGCGUGGGGAGCAAACAGGAUUAGAUACCCUGGUAGUCCACGCCGUAAACGAUGUCGACUUGGAGGUUGUGCCCUUGAGGCGUGGCUUCCGGAGCUAACGCGUUAAGUCGACCGCCUGGGGAGUACGGCCGCAAGGUUAAAACUCAAAUGAAUUGACGGGGGCCCGCACAAGCGGUGGAGCAUGUGGUUUAAUUCGAUGCAACGCGAAGAACCUUACCUGGUCUUGACAUCCACGGAAGUUUUCAGAGAUGAGAAUGUGCCUUCGGGAACCGUGAGACAGGUGCUGCAUGGCUGUCGUCAGCUCGUGUUGUGAAAUGUUGGGUUAAGUCCCGCAACGAGCGCAACCCUUAUCCUUUGUUGCCAGCGGUCCGGCCGGGAACUCAAAGGAGACUGCCAGUGAUAAACUGGAGGAAGGUGGGGAUGACGUCAAGUCAUCAUGGCCCUUACGACCAGGGCUACACACGUGCUACAAUGGCGCAUACAAAGAGAAGCGACCUCGCGAGAGCAAGCGGACCUCAUAAAGUGCGUCGUAGUCCGGAUUGGAGUCUGCAACUCGACUCCAUGAAGUCGGAAUCGCUAGUAAUCGUGGAUCAGAAUGCCACGGUGAAUACGUUCCCGGGCCUUGUACACACCGCCCGUCACACCAUGGGAGUGGGUUGCAAAAGAAGUAGGUAGCUUAACCUUCGGGAGGGCGCUUACCACUUUGUGAUUCAUGACUGGGGUGAAGUCGUAACAAGGUAACCGUAGGGGAACCUGCGGUUGGAUCACCUCCUUACCUUAAAGAAGC
RNAcentral lists this ribosomal RNA (1556 nucleotides) under Escherichia coli. RNAcentral's name for it is "bacterial SSU rRNA". It matches the Rfam family "Bacterial small subunit ribosomal RNA". Lineage: Bacteria; Pseudomonadati; Pseudomonadota; Gammaproteobacteria; Enterobacterales; Enterobacteriaceae. The record is from RNAcentral.